RNAcentral lists this ribosomal RNA (301 nucleotides) under uncultured soil bacterium. RNAcentral describes it as "bacterial SSU rRNA". It matches the Rfam family "Bacterial small subunit ribosomal RNA", at positions 26 to 316 of the family's 1533-position model. The record is from RNAcentral.
AGGAUGAACGCUGGCGGCGUGCCUAAUACAUGCAAGUCGAGCGAACAGAUAAGGAGCUUGCUCCUUUGACGUUAGCGGCGGACGGGUGAGUAACACGUGGAUAACCUACCUAUAAGACUGGGAUAACUUCGGGAAACCGGAGCUAAUACCGGAUAAGAUUUUGAACCGCAUGGUUCAAUAGUGAAAGACGGCCUUGCUGUCACUUAUAGAUGGAUCCGCGCCGUAUUAGCUAGUUGGUAAGGUAACGGCUUACCAAGGCAACGAUACGUAGCCGACCUGAGAGGGUNAGUCGGCGCACUGG